UCCUUAGUACGAGAGGACCGGGAUGGACGUACCUCUGGUGUACCAGUUGUCCUGCCAAGGGCAUGGCUGGGUAGCUAUGUACGGAAUGGAUAAGCGCUGAAAGCAUCUAAGCGCGAAGCCAACUUCAAGAUAAGAUUUCCCACCGCAAGGGUAAGACCCCAGAAAGACUAUCUGGUUGAUAGGUCGAAGGUGUAAGUGCAGCAAUGUAUUUAGCUUAUCGAUACUAAUAGGUCGAGGACUUGACCAAU
RNAcentral lists this ribosomal RNA (248 nucleotides) under Clostridioides difficile. Its description in RNAcentral is "partial 23S ribosomal RNA". It matches the Rfam family "Bacterial large subunit ribosomal RNA", at positions 2675 to 2925 of the family's 2925-position model. The record is from RNAcentral. Lineage: Bacteria; Bacillati; Bacillota; Clostridia; Peptostreptococcales; Peptostreptococcaceae.